GCACUGCUGACGAGUUACAAACAGGACGAAACAGCUGUCCAGUGC
This 45-nucleotide non-coding RNA is filed under the name Echinostoma caproni. Lineage: Eukaryota; Metazoa; Platyhelminthes; Trematoda; Plagiorchiida; Echinostomatidae. The record is from RNAcentral.